CCUCAUCAAAACCUUAAAAAGAAAAAGAACCUUGUAAGGAAAAAAUCUUAAUGAUGGAAAAAGAGUACACAUAUCUUGUAAUACGCAUUACUUGCUCCUUAUUAAAAACCUUGCAAGGAAUAUAUAGUGGGAUAAAACCUUAGCCAAGGAAAAAAGAGUACAAUGCGUAUUUGCCUCCCCCUGAUGAAAAUAUCACUUUAUAUCUUGGAGAUAGAAAAUUUCAAGCUUGUAUAACAACUUCUCUAAUCUUUGAGACCGACAAUGCCUUGGUGAAUUAUUCCACCAAAUUAUCACUUGAAUAAAUUUCUUAAACAUUUAUUUCACAAUAGGCGUUGCGGGUUCACUGGGGUCGGGAGAGUUCGGGGCCAUUCUCAUCAUGAUCGAUCCACGUCCUAGGGGAGUGCCCGGCUUGCUUAGCAAUCAAACCUAGAUUAUUAAGGUAGCUUACUUUUUCAUUUUGAAAAAAAAGGCGAAGGCAUUUUUUUCAUUUUGUUGAAGAUUGUUUUUGACAAAGAACUUUGAUGAAAUAUAGAAUUUAUUCUGUCUCCUUCAAAUUUAUCCUUUUUUCAGUUGAGUUAAACAAAUAUUAUAGCCUUCACUAUUAUUGGAAUAUUAUCUUCAAGAAAAAGUCACACAACGAGUCAUUUGCUUUAUCAAUUGAUACAAAUAGAUAUUUGAAGAACGAACUUCAAAAAAUACAUGCAUUUCCAUAACCAAUAAAAUCUUGACAAUAUUUGUUAGGACAAAAAAAUUUGUAUCAAUGAUUCCUUUUGCAAUAUAAUAGUAGUACUAUUCCAAUAUUUCCAUAUAGGAGUAAAACUAUAUCUCGCUAGCAUAUUAUUAUACUCAUGGUUCUAGCGAGAUAUAUAGUGAACCACUUGCAAUAGACACAAAAAUAAAUCUUGUAAGCCAUGAUUGCUCUAAUUCACAUAAAGAUUUGUUGAAGCUUUAUUUAAUAAAUAUCUUUGGGACAUUAAUAUGUUUCAAAACUAUUUAAAUCCUUCAAUGAUUUUUAUAUACGCACAACAAAUUUACCAGGUAUUUGCAGACUAAAAUCUAAAAGCAACUGUAUCUACCACAAGGGAACAUGUUUCCAUAUAAUCAAUGCUAGGACAUUUACGUAAACUCUUGUGUCAGCCCACUGGCUUUACACUUUCAGGUGUUGGGACUAUCAGUCCAAAACUUCCCAUUUUCCAAGUGAAGUCAAUCUUGAUUGCGUAUUUUUCAUUGACCAAUCAUUCCGUGAUGAUCCAAAGAGGCCAUCACCUAUUUUUAAUCGAAUUCUAUAUUUUUAGGCCUUAAAAUCCUCAUUUAGAGUCGCUUUGAUUUACGUGCACAGUCCGGGCGCGUAGCCAGAAAGCUUAAAUAUGAAAUUCUAUGAAAAAUGCUAAGUUUUGAUGUUAAAAUGGAUAAAUUUGACCUUGGUCAAUAUUUUGGUCAAACGGACCCGGACCUGUGAUUUGACGGUCCCGAAGGAUCCGGAAGAAAACAUGGGUCUUGGACAUAUACUUGGAAUCAAAUUUUGAGGUCCCAAGACCGAUAGAUGAGUUUUUAAAUGAAAUUAUUUAAGGAAAUCUGAAAUAAAAACUGAUUAGAAAGCGAUGGUAUCAGCUCGUAUUUUAGUUCCAGUGCUCGGUACAUGCCUUAUAUAUGAAUUGAGUCGUUCAUGUGAAAUUUCGUUAAAAAUAGACGUCAUUUGAUGUGAUCCGGAACUUAAUUGGAAAAUUUGAUUUUUAAAGGAGUUUUGAGAAAUUUCAGUGAUCUUGAGAAUUAAUUCGAUGCUCGUGAUAUUAUUAUAGUGAUUUGAUUACAGGAAUAUGUUCAAAGGAUUUUUGAAGUUGUGUGUGUAUUUGAGUUGGAGUUUCGAGGGCUCGGGUGAGUUUCGGGUAGGUGUCGGGAUGCCUUAGACUUAGAAAUAAGAUGAACCCACUUGUGUGGUCCGCGAGCUACCGCAUGCGGCCGCAGAGGAGCCAGAAUGGCCGCGGUCGCUUUUCUGCGGUGCACGGGGGAGGCUGUGUGACCACAGUCGCCUUUGUGCGGUCUGCACAGGGUGCUGAACUACAAGUCUUCAAGUAAGUCUGUGCGGCCGCAGACCAUUUAGUGCGGUCCGCACACGGGGUCGGCCAAAAGUAUAAAUAGAUGGGAUUUUCAGUUAUUUUUUAUUUUUCAAAAUCCUAAAACAUAAGAGGCAAUUUUUCAAGAAAUCUUUCUUCUCCAAAUCAAUUGUAAUUCAUUUUUAACUACUUGUCUUCAAUCGUUAAUAUCUUUUAACAUGAUUUCCACUUCAAAUCAAAGAUUUUCAUGGGGGAAAUUGGGUGUUUUGAAUAGAACCUGAUUUGGACCUCAAUUUGAGGCCUGAUUUUAAAAAAAAUGUAUAUUUGAUUUCAUGGGGGAAUGGGUAGUCGGGUUUUGGUUCUAACCUCGGGUUUUGACCACGUGGGCCUGGGGACAAUUUUUGACUUUUAGGUAAAACCUUGGAAAACUCAUUCUCAUGCAUUGGGAUUGAUUCAUUUAGUGUGUAUUGACAUAAUAAAGUAAUUUGUGAUUAGAUAUGAAUGAAUUGACGGUGGAACCAAGGGGCAAAGCUAUAAUUGAGAUGUGAGUUGUGUUCGAGGCAUCCAGGUAAGUGUUUGGUCUAACCUUAGCUUGAGAGAUUAGGAGUUGCAUCCUAUUUACUAUGUGAUAAUUGUUGAGUGCGACGUAUAGGCAUGGUGAUGAGUAUAUAUACGUUGGUUUCUAGCAUGACUGCGAGUCUUUGCCUUGUGAAUAUCAUGAUAUAAUUUUUUCUUUUAUGCCUUGGUGAUGAUUUCUAUAUGUUAUGAAAAGAUGGUGAAAGAAAUUGUGACCUUUGAACAUCGAGGAGUAUUGACUCGAGUAUACUACAAAUUGUGAAAGUAUAUGAGAUGACUGAACCCUUUGGAGCAUUGGCUCAAGAAGUAAAGCGAGUCGUGAUGUAAAAGUGAAAGAAAGAGAAAGAUUUAUUAAAUUAUUCCCUUGCGUGGAAAUUUUUUGCUUUGUUGAUUAUCUCCCUUGCCGGGAAGCUGAGAUUUAUUGAUAUUGUUCCAUUGCCGGGAUUUAACUGUUAAAUUGUGCCCCUUGCCGGGAUUUCUAUUAUUAUUUGUUUACUCCCUUGCCCCUUGUUUGUGAUUGUUGUUGGGUGAGAAAGAGUGUUAAAGCACGACGGGUGAUGUCGUGCAUUAUUUGUUAUUGUGAGGAAAGAGUCCUAAAGCACGAAGGAGGAUGUCGUAUCGAACGAUGUACCAUUCCGUAUCGAUUAUUAAUUAUAUGUGAGGAAAGAGAGUAAAAGCACGAAGGGUGAUGCCGUGGACAUUUUAUUAUAUCAUUGUAUGAUAAGGACGAGAGUAAAAGCACGAAGGGUGAUGUCGUGCACAUUUUAUUAUAUAAUUUCUUGGUGAGGAUGAGAGUAAAAGCACGAAGGAUGAUGCCACGCACUUAUUGAUUUAUGAUUCUUUAUUGAUGUCUGAGUUAUGUUGCUUUCUUCAUUAUUUGAUGAUUUUUAUUCGGAGUUGUUAUCUUCCUCACAGCAUGCUCCCUCUCCCAUUGACUGGUUAAUUCCUGUAUUUCAUUUUUGUUGUAUAUACAUAUAUGAACUACACAGGUUUAUUUGGUAGUGUGGUCCGAGCCUCGUCACUACUUCGCCGAGGUUAGGCUAGACACUUACCAACAUAUGGGGUCGGUUGUGCUGAUACUACACUCUUUGCUCUUUUGCACAAAUCCAUGUACUGGGCAACAUCAUUAGUUAGAGAGCUUCCUUCAGUCCACCCGGAGACCCAAGGUAGCCCUGCAGGCAUCCGGAGGCCCUGACGUCUCCUUUUAUCUCUAUUUCCUAUUUCAUUUUCCUUUAUUCAGAAAUAGUGUAUUGUUAUUUAUUCAGACCCUAUUUAGUAAUCUUAGAUAGACUGUGACACUGUGAUACCGGGUUUUGGGUGGCUAAGACUUAAGUAACUAUUCUUUCGCAGAUCAGGUGUUUAAUUGUUAUUUUCCACUUAAUUAUCUAAAGUUUCGCAGUUUUCAUGUUACUGCCUUUUUUAAUUGUUAAAAGAAGUAAUUUGAUAAUAAGGUAAGUAGUUAAGGAUUGUCUUAUCUAGCUCUCACUAGUAGACGCCAUCACGACUCCCGUAGAGGGGGGAAAUCAGGGUCGUGGCAAGUUGGUAUUAGAGCUCUAGGUUACAUCGGUCUCACAGUUCACAAACAAGCUUAGUAGAGUCUUGAGGGAUCGGUACGGAGACGUCUAUAUUUAUCCCCUAAAGGCUACAGAGUUAGGAAAAUUUCACAUUAGUUCUUUCUUGUCGUGCAGUUUGGUUCCUCAAUACUAAUCGAAUUUCUACACUGUUCUUUCACAGAUAGCGAGAACACGCGCUUCAUCAUCUAUCGCUCAGCAGCCCGAGCCCCCACCAACAACACUCACUAGGGGCAGAGGACGAGGUUGAGGUCGAGGUCGUGCUAGAGUCCGAGGUAGGGGCAGAGCUCAGCCCCGAGUAGCAGCACCAAUGGUGGAGCCUUAGGUUGAUUUUGAGGAAAAGGUUUAGGCCCCAACAGUUUCGGUCGGCCCAACUCAUGUCCUAGAGGGGUUUAUUGCUACCCUAGUUCUUUAGAACGUUUUGGUCCGAUUGGUGGGCCUCAUGGAGAGUGUAACCCAAGUAGGUUUGCCUCUUCUAGUGCUAGCCACUUCUCAGGCUGGGGGGAGGGGCUCAGACUCCUGGUACUCGCACUCCAGAGCAUGCAGCUCUUCAGAUUCAAACUCCAGCAGUUCAACCAGUUGGAGUAGUACAUCCUGGUAUGGUAGCUCAGACGAUUGAGCGGCUAUGUCCGCCGAUGUUUUGUGAAGGCUGGAUUGGUUCACCAAGCUCUUCACUUCUACUUUCAGUGGUGCAUCUACUGAGGAUCCCCGGGAUUAUUUGGAUAGUUGUCACGAGGUUCUUCGGAACAUGGGUAUUGCUGAGACCAACGGGGAUAACUUCGCUACCCUUUGCUUGUCUAGAUCCGCAAAGACUUGGUGGAGGGAUUAUUGCUUUGCUAGACCAGUAGGAUCGCCGGCCUUGACAUCAGAGCUGUUUACAGUGUUAUUUCUUGAGAAGUUUCUCCCCGUUACUCAGAGAGAGGCCUAUCAGAGGCAGUUUGAGCACCUACAGCAGGGUUCCAUGACAGUCACCCUAUAUAAGACCAGGUUCAUUGACUUAGCUCGCCGUGAUCUUAUUAUACUCCCCACUGAGAGGGAGAGAGUGAGACGGUUUAUUGAUGGACUCAUUCAACCGAUUCGUCUCCAGAUGGCUAGAGAGACUGGGAGCGAGAUAGCCUUCUAGAAGUCGGCCAAUGUGUCCCGUAAGGUUGAGAUGGUAUUAUCACGGGGGAGGGGGGUGGUCAUAGGGCAGACAAGAGAGCUCGUUAGUUAGGGAGAUUCAUUGGUGCCUCAUUUGGAGGCAGAGAAUUGUAUGACAUGGGUCAUCCUCCUAGGACUUACCAGUUAGCACUCCAGGUUUCUCACGAUGCUUCAGGUGGCCGUGGUUCUCGCGGGCAAUAUUCUGAUCAACAGUCCUAUAGUUCAUUACCAGCUCCAAUUAGUGCACUCCCGCUUCAGAAUUUUCAAGGUGGUCAUUCAAGUUGACAAGGCCAGCAGUCUCAGCAGUCGAGGGCUUAUUACACUGGUGGUAAUCUGGGUCAUAUUGCCAGGUUUUUCCCUUGAGCACCAAGUAGCUCACAACACUAGGGUCCUCGUGCUAUGGUACAAGGACCAGAUGUUCUACAGCAUGCCCAGCCAGCUAGAGGUGGGGGUAGAGGUGCUAGAGGUGGAGGUAGAAGUCCUAGAGGUGGAGCUCAGACCGCUAGAUGUGAAGGCCAUCCAGCUGUAGGUCGUCCCAGAGGUAGAUCAGAGUGGCGGGGGCCAGGCCCGAAGAUAUGCUCUUCAGGCCACGCCCCAAGCAGAGGCUUCACACGCAAUUAUUACAGGUUUGGUUCAGGUUUAUUAUAGAGGUGCUUCGGUGUUGUUUGAUCCGGGGUCUACGUAUUCGUAUGUUUCAUCCUAUUUUGCCCCAUUCUUGGUCUUGCCUAGUGAUGCAUCGGGUGUUCCUGUUUAUGUGUCUACACCUGUGGGUGAUUCUAUUAUGGUCGAUCGAGUCGUUCUUGUAUUGUGGUGAUUGGGGUCUUAAGACUCGUGUAGAUUUGUUACCUUUAGACAUGGUUGACUUAGAUAUCAUAUUAGGGAUGGACUGAUUAUCACCUUACCACGCUAUCUUGGACUGUCAUGCAAAGAUUGUGACCUUAGCUUUAUCGGGUAUGCCUCGUUUAGAGUGGAGACGGACUCCUCGCCAUUCUACCCAUAGCAUUAUCUCUUAUGUGAAGGCUCGGCAUAUGGUCGAGAAGGGGUGUUUGGCCUAUUUGGCAUAUGUUCGUGAUUCUAGUACUAAGGUCCCUUCUAUUGAUUUUGUGCUCGUGGUUCGUGAGUUCCCUGAUAUUUUCCCUUCAGACCUGCGGGGCAUGUCGUCCGAUAGGUGACUUCUGCAUUGAUGUGGCUCCGGGCACCCAGCCCAUUUCUAUCCCGCCAUAUCGUAUGGCCCUACCCGAGUUAAAAUAGUUAAAGGUGUCACACCUUCUUUUAACAUCUACAACCCCGACGAAGGGCAUAGAUAAGAGAGUUUUCUAAUUUAAGGACAAUUGAAAUGAGAUUCAUUUAUUUAAAGAUCAGAAUCGCCACUUAGGAUAAUUUAUGGUGUCCGAAAUCACCGGUUUUAAUCCUGAAUCGAGGAAGGUAUGACUCUUUUUAACAAUCUUUGAACUAGAAAUCCGGGUAAGGAAUUCUGUUAACCUAGGAGAAUGUGUUAGGCACUCCCGAAUUCUAUGGUUCUAGCACGGUCCCUCAACUGCUUUAUUUGACUUAAUUAUCUGAUUUUAAUGAAUUUUUUGUACCUAUGUGCAAAGUUUGACUUUUAAAUCGCUUUUAUCUAAUUUUUAAGAAUAUUGCAACAUUGUUAAAACACGUCUCGAACCACGUCACAUAAAUGUACCUACAGUCUUUGACAUAUUUCAACAUCCUUGGGAUUUGGAUUUGGGUCACAUAAAUGUGCACCCGUAUUUAGGAAAGUGAAUUGUUUAACAACGCGGCUAAAGCAACUUUGUAUGUUUAGGUUUGCGAGGGCCACGAAAAUUCGCUAAGUGGUGCACCUAGGGUUCUAAGGAUUAUACGAUUAAUUAAAAUGAUGGCCAUGAGCUUAGAGAUUUUAUUUGACAUGACACGCUUCAAAGGGCUUUAUUCGACUAAAACAAACUACUGAUGUUUAUAAGUUAUUUAUUUCUAAGUUUGAGAUCAAAUAUGAAAAGGUCCAAAAUGUAUGCAAUCUAUUUGUAUGAAAGUGGCUGCAAUUUGCUAAGGAAAUUAAAAAGGGCGAGACUAGAUGCAUAUGUUGUUGCAAGCUGCUGUAAUAGCACAGUUUUUACUCAAGAACAACCAAGACAUUAUGAAUCAUUCAAGGCUACACCUGACUAACUUGUAGACAUGAUUGAUGCCUAUUGCUCCAAUGGUAGUACUUAAAUUAUUCAGAAUCGUCCUUAAACCAUUUAAACUCACCAUUGAAUACCAUAAUAGCAAAAGCGCAAUACUGUGGCGCAAAAGAGUGUAUAGGUUCAAAUUAGAUUUCUUAAACCAUUUAAACUCACCAUUGAAUAGCAUAAUAGUGAGACACUGAUUUAGAAUAAGUAGCUUUUCCAUUACAAAAUAAUCGUCAAACACCUACCCUUCUGUAUAUUUACAUUUGAACUACCAAACAAAAUAGGGGAAACAAUAAGUCAUGAAUAUUUAAAGUAACUCCUAAACAAAUAUGCACAAUUAAGAUCUCACUAAUCUUAUACUACAUCAAAGAGGGAUGUAUGUAGUACCAAACACGUUUGAUGGGUUCAAAACAUAUACUUGAAUCAAUAUGUGACAAUAUUGAACGCAGAACUCGGUCAGCUAGUUCAAGUAGACAUAUGAGCAGACAUAUUUAAAAUCAUAAAUAACAAGCCAUAGGAUCUAAUCACAAAACACAAUUAACAAUAGAAUGAGUAAAGGAUCAAAGAAUUGGACCUUACUGUUAAAGUCCUUUAAAACUUGUUAACGAACACAAAAUCAGCAACGAAAUACGAUCGUAGACUUCGAGCCCGACCUCGACAGAACCUCGUCGAACAACGGCUAACCUCAACCUCGACGCUCACUGGACAACUCAAACCAAAUCAGAAAACAGACCUGACUAACUUCAUGACAUCAGCUCCUAAUCUGGAGUUGUCUACUGGAUUUUAUGCGUCUGUGCCUCGUGGUGUGUGUGUGUGAAGGUGAAGCUCACCGGAGAUGGGGUUGUUUUAGGUUUCUGCGUUCUUUUUGUGUGAUUCUGUGUGUUCUCUAAAAAUGAUGGAAGGGGUUGAAGAAGGUAAGUUCAAGGAGGGGUCGUUUCUCUGGUGUUAUGCCGCUGGUCAUAUGUGAGCUUUGAACAGAGGGUCAUUAGGGUGGAUCUAGGAAGACGAAAUACAGGGUUAGGUCCUUGAUGAAAGCUGCGAUUUUUUCUUCUCUUUUUCUAGGCGUUCCUCUUUCUUCUAUAUAGAUCUAGGUUUUGUUUUUU
RNAcentral lists this long non-coding RNA (8606 nucleotides) under Nicotiana benthamiana. RNAcentral describes it as "long non-coding RNA (NBEN_LNC012651)". Lineage: Eukaryota; Viridiplantae; Streptophyta; Magnoliopsida; Solanales; Solanaceae. The record is from RNAcentral.